UAAUACGGAGGGGGCAAGCGUUGUUCGGAAUUACUGGGCGUAAAGGGCGCGCAGGCUGUUUCGUUAGUCAGGCGUGAAAUCCCCGGGCUCAACCCGGGAACUGCGUUUGAUACUGCGAAACUAGAGAUCGGGAGAGGGUAGUGGAAUUCCCAGUGUAGAGGUGAAAUUCGUAGAUAUUGGGAAGAACACCAGUGGCGAAGGCGGCUACCUGGACCGAUACUGACGCUGAGGCGCGAAAGCGUGGGGAGCAAACAGGAUUAGAUACCCUGGUAGUCCACGCCGUAAACGAUGUGUGCUAGACGUCGGGGGUUACGCCUUCAGUGUCGCAGCUAACGCAUUAAGCACACCGCCUGGGGAGUACGGCCGCAAGGUUA
RNAcentral lists this ribosomal RNA (374 nucleotides) under uncultured Alphaproteobacteria bacterium. Its description in RNAcentral is "bacterial SSU rRNA". It matches the Rfam family "Bacterial small subunit ribosomal RNA", at positions 521 to 896 of the family's 1533-position model. Lineage: Bacteria; Pseudomonadati; Pseudomonadota; Alphaproteobacteria. The record is from RNAcentral.